This is a non-coding RNA of Pogona vitticeps (central bearded dragon), 362 nucleotides long. The record is from RefSeq and is a predicted model, not a curated record. Lineage: Eukaryota; Metazoa; Chordata; Lepidosauria; Squamata; Agamidae.
GGGCGGGAGGGGCGCGGCCUCACCUGCAGCUCCCCUGCGAGAGGCUGAGGAUCUUAAGUGUCCUGACUGCAAAGCUGAUGUUACAGUGAACUUGUCCUGAAAUUGAUACUGGAUGGUACAGAACAAUGCCAAUGGUGAUGAUAAUACAAAACUUCCAUAUAUGCCAGACAAAAGGAGGACCUCAUAGUCUAAGGAAGACACCCAUAGUUGCCACCCUGAACGAUGAAGGCAUGUCAACACACUAGGUGUGCAUUUCAGUCCUAAAUGUUACCAUGAAGAGCUAGAUUCCGUGAAACAUUAAAUUCACUCUAGAAGCAGGAAUGAUUCCCAAGAAGAUAUUUCAAAAGGAGAAAUAAGAUACC